This 283-nucleotide long non-coding RNA is filed under the name Solanum tuberosum (potato). Its description in RNAcentral is "long non-coding RNA (STUB_LNC001718)". Lineage: Eukaryota; Viridiplantae; Streptophyta; Magnoliopsida; Solanales; Solanaceae. The record is from RNAcentral.
UAUGUAUUAAUAAAAUAUUUAACAUCAAAAUUAUAGACCAAACAAUAAAUACAAAAGAAGAGGCUUUAAUAUCUUUGGAAAAAAGGAUUGAAGGUUUAGAAAAUAGAAUAAGUAAAUUAGAAAAAGGAAAAGAAAAAGUAGAAGAAGAGACCAAUACCAUACCAGAAGAAGAAAUCGAACUAUUAAAUGAAAAAGACCUCAACCAUAAAUCUUUUGAGGGAUUAAUUUGUAAUGAAGACAAGAAAAUUAAUACUAUCAAAAUACUAACAAGAAUAAGGAUUCA